GCCCUGCUGGCCACGCUACAGGCCAGAUGCCAUUGGCUUUCUUGACCACCUGGGCAUACACUGGCUUAUAUUUGGCUGCUGUUGACGAGCACCUCCAGAUCCUUUGCCUUUGGGCUGCUUUGCAGUCCCCCUUCCCCCAGCCUGUAGCACUGCGGGGGGUUGUUGUGGCCAAACUAUUGGACUGAAUCCUAUUGAACCUCAUGCCGUUGAUCUUGGCCCACCUAGAUACCACAAAGCACCCAAAUCAAUCAAAUACCCUAUGUCUUUCCAGUGUUUGUGUAUCUAUAACACAUCUAACACACUAUAAAUAUCCCCUACCCAAAGGAGGCCUUAGACAGGUGGGUGGACACAGCAUGCUGGGGCUGAGGGCAUCCACCCCUCAUGCCUGGCACCCAGACCAGGCAGGGCGCCUCCCCCUGUGCCGACACCUUUCCGCCUUGAAUUUAAAAAAUUCAUUUUCUUCCCUCUCUUCUGCCCAUUCCCCUGCUUCAGUCUAACAGAAGUAACUCACCAGUCACUGUUGUUUCGGGUUGCCGGAGUGGUUUUUCCCUCAGCCUGUGUUUCCUGCAGCACCUCAGGGUUCAGCCCAAUCUCCCACUUUUUACAGGUUUCUGUUUUUUAGGCGGUACCUCCACACACACAGCCCCUGCCAUCCCUCUACAGCGUAAUUACUGGAGCACAUAAAGCAGUUAUAGCAGGAAUUUAUCACUUUCAGGUAGGAAUACUCCUGGCCAAGUAAAAGAUAGAGCAGGAAUGCCAGGAGCGAUUUAUAACGGGCUUACUGACAUUUCACGUGGAGAAGCUCCGUCAGUGAAUAAGCAUCAAGCUAUAAAUCUCAGAGAAAACAUGAUUAAAGCGAGCAAGUUAUUCUUUGAGGGAACUUCAUCAUAAAAGGAUGUGGUGGUGUGGAGCCACAGAAUUUGGUUGGUGACAGUCGUAGAAAACAGCCGUCAGAGCAGCGUCCCAGAUUUACCUUAUCUAGAGAGAAGGACUUCUACUUAAAUGAGUGUUAAAUCAGGGCUGAAAGUAUUUCUUAAUAAACUAUUAAUGUCUUCCAAGAAGGAGGUUCUCCAGUUUUCGGGUGUCACACUCCUCUGCUUUGGUAGUUUGUUCCCUCUGUGGCUCCUGAACACUGGGAAUGGUUUGAACUGGGAUUUUUAUUAAUUUUUUUGCUUUAUUUAGAGAAGGGUAAAUCUUUGUUACAAAUAUUAGCCAGAGGUGCAAGGAGAUGAGCACUACGCAGGAUGCAGAAUUGUGAAAUCUCACAGCUCCAUUGAUCUGAGACCAUUUGUCAUCUGGGGCAAGCUGACACUUGACAGGGUGAAGCACCGUCACGCUGAUUUGAAUGAUGGCAUGUUCAGCCUUUAUUAGCAAUGUCAUCGUAUCUCCUAACCUGCUUGACCCCAGAAAACACUGUCUCGGCUUUCUCUGCAUCCAUGAUAACUCCCAGUCGUUAUCCAUGAGAAGAGAAACCGUGGAGAGUCCUAAACAACAGCCUGUCCCUUGCAGUGAUGCUGUCCUUGCAGAAUCCGAGCCGGAGAGGGAUGGAUGCAGGCAUCCCCAUCCUCACACGUCUCGUUUCCCUGGCACGGAGAGGAGGGCUGUUUGUUGGCAUCGACAGCACGGGAGCUGCAUCAGUGCGCUUGGAUCCAGCUGUGAAAAGUGCGGCUGUGUCUCUGUAAUAGCCUGUUGUUUUCUGGUGCUCAGGGAACCCCCCGCUGCGUUAAUAGCACGGCGCAGUGUCCCCCUUGCUGACGGCCCGUCAUCCCCGGCCGUGCGGACCGGCGGGAUCUCUGCCGCCGAGGGAAGCGGAUCUGCGGAAAGGAACAACAGCCGCCGAGGCGAGCGUGGAAGUACAACAAAACCAAAGGAAAAUCACACCUUGUGAUAGACACUUGUAGCUGCCAGAUGCUCCCAGAUCUGUUUCUGGCAGGAUCUGACUGCAGUGAGCUGCUACAGAGCACAGCACCAUCCUUGACUCUCCUGGAGGAGGGAAAGGGGCAGGCAGACAUGCCCUGGGCCUGCUCUGCCCAAAGGGGAGCUUGUCCCCAAGCCCUGCAAGGUGGGGGAGUGGCACAUUCCUGGUGCCUCUUCCCACCCUAUGUGCAUGCACCAAAACACCAGGAUGCAGGAGAGGGUUGACAGCAAGGGGCACAGCUGGACAGGGCACCCUCACUCCUUUCCUUGGGCUGCAGAGGAUGAAACUGGGACAGGAACCUGCUCCCUCAUAUUGACAAAACCAGGAUAAACUCACAAAAUAAGCUAAAUGAGUAAUUUUUCCCUUAAAAAUAAACAGUUACCAGAUGCAACCUUUACAUCCUACUACUCCCUCUUACUUGGCUGUUGUGUGCUCAUCCUGUGGUCCAAAAUCCCAGCUCCCAGCAUCUCCUAGGGCACUGGUGAUACUGAAAGAUGGCAAAAGGCCUCGCUGCCGAGAUGAAACUUUAAUGCAAUUUGAAGCAUUCAGAGCAGGUUACAAACAACACUUGAUCCAUAGAUCUCUUGAGUCAACCUGGCAUUUAUGUUCACAAAAUAUGAGAUGCCAAUAUAUACUGUACAGGACAGUAAACCAGAUAAGUGCCUCAUCUUCCUUCCCUCCGGCUGAAAUAUGUUUAGUGUCUCUCCCAAUAAAUCCACGUGUGCACGCACAGUCUCUAUUGUGCUGAGACAUUAUGUGGGAAUUUACAAACAUUUACAACUAAGUUAAACUGAGCCAAAGCACUGCCCUGGGCAGCCUGAAGCUAACAAAUACUUGUGUUCGAGAAAGAUGUAAAAGUCACGAGUGAUUCAUUCUCCUUAAUUUCAUAAAGGUUAAGGAGUUGGCACUCUCAGAAAUCUAAGAAACGUCUUCCUCUGCAGUGAAUUACUGCUACCAAUUGGACAGUCAGGAGCGAAAAAAAUGAUGCAGGGAACAGAGGGAAGCAAGAAAUACAUCUCUAAAUUUGGUUUAUGCAGUAUUUAAAGUACAACUAAAGCCAUUCCAGGCAGUAUAAGGCCCACACACUUUAAAAUAAAUUUGUUGCAUGACAGAAAGCCAGUAAAGCGGUUUCGGCAGUGGUGUGAUAUAGUGAGACAGCGGCGUUGGGUACGUGCAUGAAUCAGCUCCGUGCCCUGCUGAGGCAACGAUCAUCUCCGCCGUGCUAAACUGUUAAUGUGGUUUUCAAACAAUGCGGAGCUUCACAGCAAAACCCGCGCUGAAGGAUGGGCUGGGCUCGGCGGCUGACGGGGAAGGUAAAACAUCCUCGUCUACCUCGUGCUUCAUUUCAAAGUGCUGCCCAUCUGGUAAAGACCUUUUUAUGUAAAUACACCGGUACCUGAUAUUUUAUUCAUUUAGCGAAGUUCUCCAGCUGUUUUUCAACAAAUAUACAAUUAUUGCAUGAUUCAUCAUGUAAUGGGAAGGGGUGAGAGCAGAAGGAGGCGGUUCCAUCGAGUCUCACAAGUCAGCCGUUUUCCUGGGCAUUAAAAGAGCCAAAGCACCUGGGAGGAGGGGGUCUCUCUCCUCCCAUCCACCUGAAUGCAGAGCACAUCCUGGGACUACCCCACCAGGAAAGGGUGCUCAGCUCUCACAUGCUGAGCGGCCGCCGCAAGUGACAGAAUGGAUCCGCUUCAUCAGAAGACUGGAAAAAAAAUGGGAAGAGGAACAGCCUCAUGCUUUGAAUUCCCUCUUUCCCCAAAUGUCUGAAUCAAAGCCUUUAACAGGCUUAGUUUGCUACUAGUGCCGCCCCUCUGAGGCCAAUUUUGCUGUGCAUCCGAGGCCCUGAGAGCUCACCGUGGUGGCAGAGGCAUCAUGGGCUGCAGCACUGACUUGAAAGACACGGCACUGCUGAGACCAUUUGGUGCAGUAAUUGGCUAGAGCCAUUAGACUAGCAAGUUGUAGGAUUUCAAAUAUUGAGGGAUUUGAUCCCCAAAAGGAAAUAAUAAUAAUAAUAAUAAAAAAGUCUGUUACACUUUCAGACUAAGCAGCGCAGUCAGCAUUGCAUUACAUAGCAUUAAAUUAUUCGUUGAGCCUCAGUAGCAGGAACAUCUGCUGGUGUUAGACAUGGCAUUUUUAAUUAAAAGCAGCGGCAGAGAAGCCUGUGGUUCAUUGGUUCUGCUUUCACCGUGCGAAUUGCUAAAUCCAAAGGGCACUUGUACAAAAGAUUUGGUCAGAGCACAAGCUCUGGACCCAGCGCUGCAGAAGCGCGAGCGGAAAAGCAGCUGAGGUGACAGGUAAUUUACACCUGCACCUGCUGGGGACCUCUGAGAAUGGCCACAUGGGUCAAAACUGCAGAGGAUUUUACAAAAUUGAGACUACCCUUCUGAUUUUACCAGAAAAGGGGUUUCCUGCAGAAAGGCAAAUAACAGAGAACAGCAAAGCAGGAAAAAAACCUGUGCCCAGCUGGGGGACCACGUUCACACCUUUGCUUCAGCAGCUGCUGGUGCUUCCCUGCACCAGUGCUGGGCUGCAUGGAUGGAUGGCACAGACCCUCCAUAUCAAGCAGUGCCACCCAGGAGAUUUACCUACCAAAGGAAUAAACGCUUGAACAAGGAAUAAUUUCCAUCCCCCAUCAGCUGCCCUCCCAGACCUCUCAUCCUAAGCAUGCCAAGGCAGACCAAAAAUCAGGCCUGGGCCUGAUUUGAGCAUGGCCUGAUUUGAGCAUGGCUGGAAAAUGCCCAAAGCCCCCCGCAGCAUGGAUACAUCCAAGGCAGAGCCAACCAAAAAAAAGCCUUCUCACCCUCUUCCACCUCCCACUGCCCCAAGGCAGCCCCACAAGCCUGGGUCAUCGCUAGGCAGUCUGCUCUGACAGGGCUCAGCCUUCCUGUAAUAAAACCUGAAUUAAAAUGUAUGCCAACUGUCAGGUCCCAGCUCAGCUCGGCGGAUGGGCAGAGCUGAGGAGCAGGGAGAGGUUCCUGUCCCAGGGUCCGGGUGCAGAAGCGUCAGCCCCACGGACACGCGCGGCUGCCUCCCCGCAGGCACAGAGGGGACGGGAUUUCCCUCGACGAGCCCCGCAGAUGGUGUUUGUUUGCUCAGCCACGGUAGAAAAGGAAAAUAUUUGGUGCAAUCUGCUAGCAGACAGAGACAGACAUAUGGUCGGUGCGAGGCGAGCGUGGAUGCUCAGGAAAACGCAGUCAGAGCUCUGCAGAGGCUUUUAGAUGUUGGAUUGCCCCUGAGUCGAGUGGGAUACAAGUCCAGGGAAACCUCUGAAGAACCUGGGUGAGUGUUUUGUACAGUGGCUGCUGUGGCUUGAACCCUCAUAUUAGCCCCACUCUAAUUAGUCUUAUUAUACUAUCCCUAUUGUACUAGAGUUAUUAUAAUUAACCCAAUUUUAAUUUAUGCAAACCUCAGCUCUGGCUCAACACUUAGAGAAAUUCUCCCUGGUUUGAUGUCUGUUCAUCUGGCACACACAAAACAGGUUAAAAACAACAGAGCCAAUUAAAGGCAAUUACUUGCACUUUUGGACCCAGUGGAGUCAGGAUGCAGGUGCAUCAUUGCUUUUGUUCUUUACCUGGGACUUAUGAGCCUGUUGUUAAAUGUAACACUGCAGCUUCAAGCCUGUGGGAAAUCUUUGGGCCGGCCCAAAAAAUAACAUUCUUUUUGUUUCCCUUGCAGUUACAUUUUAAAAAUGCAAAACCCUGAUUGUUCUGAUCUCUGUUUCCCAGAUAUCAAGGUCUCUUUCUUAAUCAGGACAAAUCUCCAGCUAAAGCAGCACUGGUGACCUCCAUGGGGUUGAUCAGGGAUCUCUGCAUCCUGAGUCAAGGCUCAGCACCUCCAGCUUCAUCAGGAUAAAACAGAUUCCCAGGACUGCGGGGAGAAAUUUGCUGUGACUUCUUAACAGCAAACCUGCCUAAUUUUAAAGAAUUCAAGUCCUUUUGGGGGGUAGAAUGGACCCCCUAACUACACCUGAGUGCUCAAGGGCAGAGACAGCUGCUGUGCCUCAGCACCGAGAUGAGGAUCCCUGUGGGGUGAAGUUCUGUUGUCACCACACUUAGAAAUGAUCUGUGGAGAGGGAUGGGGCCACAUUUCCAGCUCUGACAUGAGCUCCACACCCAAAACACCUGGUAUGGUCAUACUGGUGCCUCCACUGGUCUUGCUGUGGUGCAUGAGGAUGUCAGCCCCACCUUUUAGCUCCAACAAACUCAAAUUAAUACAUCAGCAAGGAGUACAGCUGGCAUUCCUGGAGAAUAUGAAAAGUGUGGUUAAUGCUCCCUUAAUAUAAAUUAAAAUGCUCCUUCCCUGCUAAGCCUUCCUUCCAAAGGCAGGAGCAGAGGGCUCCAGCAUCCCACAAAACCCAUGCCUCAUGCUUCUUAAAAGUGAAAGCCAGAGCUGAGCUGCAAAUAAAAGAAGUAAGGAAGUCUGUGAGGUUACUGCAGUGAUACAUGGAUGCAGGGCAGUUUCUGGGAAGGGCCCUGCAGAGGGGCUGGAGGAAGGGCUGGGGGCGUUGCAGAGCCUCUGAAACAUAUCCCAGAGCUCCUGGUCUUACUUCUCCCCUCGGUGCCAACUCACUGUGUCAUCACAAGACAGAUUUUUCUGGGCUGCAGCUUGACCUGAACCUUUGGAAAUCUCUCACGUGCAGAGCUCCCAGAGCGUUUUCCUGACUUGCUUACUAACUGGAGGAAACUUAAGGAACAAAAACCACGGCACAUCUAUAUGUGUUUACAAGUGGGAUUAACACUUGUUAAAGUAUGUAUAAAAUAAAGCAAGCCUGGAGCUGCCCCUGCCUGGCUGCUCAGGUACGGCGUCGAUUUCCCGGGUUCCUGGAGCAGAACGGAUUCAGCAGCUCCACAGCCUGCUUUGCAGUGAUGGAUGGGAAUGAUUAUCAUUGUUAAUCCCACUAAGCCUACGGUCUCAACUUUUGAGGGUGCUUAAAGGAACACUUGAGGAGGAGCAUGUGAAGAUGUGUGGAGCACCUGCUCCUGUCCCCCUGUUAGUAUUGACCUGAGGGCACUAUCUGGUGCAAGGAUUUUAAACAGGAAUAGUUCAGAGCAGCCAGACUGUAGGCUUCGACAGGGACUUGGACUAAUGCUCCAAACGAGGACCACACUCCUGAGUCACACCCACUGGCUGCUUUGGAGGUGGUGUUAUACUCAAGGCUACAGGUGGGAAGGAAUAACCCAGCUGGGUCUGGUUAUGGAGAGGCAGAUCAUCCCGCUUCGUCCUCCCUGUCACACACUGGAUGUUCCUCCAUUUGUCUCUGACUGUGAAACAGCAGCACACACUGAAGCAGAGGGCUGGGUAAAACCCCUUCAGCUGGCAGCUGGGACACAGAGAGGAGAGGGCUGGGAGCUCACCCUGACCUGCUAAGGGAAGCAAGAUCCUCGAUGAUAACCGUGUCCUCACUUGGAUUUUAUCUCGUGUGUGUUACCAUAAAUUCUGUCAUGCCCUUCCUGUUUCUUUCUUUGGAGUCAGUGAAGACCUGAGCUCUUCCUAAGAGACACUUCAUUUCCACCCAACAUGCUGAUCUAGUGAAAGACUUGCUGCUUAAUCUGGAGGCUGGGGUAGAGGGUGGGACUGUUGCUUUGAGCCUCCCAGCUUGUGGGAGCACUGCCAUUUCCUGCUCUCGCCUCCCAGCACGGGGCCCUCACCAGUGCUCUCCCUGGCAAUGGCCUGUUUCCAGCGGUGUCUUCCAGCAGCAAUCAGCACUGAACUGGGGGCUGCAUGCCCAGGAACCAAGCACUGGGGAGCAGUGCCUGGUUUCAAGCGUUGCUCCGUGGGUUGCAAGCACAAGUAUCUGUUUCCUCCAUCCUGAGCUCCAUGUGGCCGCUGUAACUCUCCCAUUUUGGCACGUGCCAGGUGCUGCAGGAUUGUUACGUGGUGUGGGUCGGGCUCCGGUCCCAAAAUACUGAUACCCCUUGGGGUGGUUUUGUGCAGCUUCCCCCCUGCCACAGAUGUUUUGAGGAGCCUGGUCUGGCCCAAAAUUGGCUGUACUCCCUCUGCUGCUCCCCAGCACCAUGAGGCUGAUCGUCCUGCCUCAUACCAGCACCAUGGAUGCAAGUGGUGGGACGAACAGAGCCAACAGCACACGCUGGCUGUGCCCCUUACUAAUGCUGUUCUUACUAUUUUAGUGCCAUCUUCCUUCUUUCCACCCUCUCCCUGAACAACUAAAUUAAUUAGAGUGGGUUUUUUUUAUUUAAAUACUGUCAUGGAAUAAUAAUCUUAGUGAAUUCAAUUUUUGUUUUGUCAUUCCCCACUGCUUCUUUUCUCUGUUGUGCUCUCUUUUAAUAUGCUGCUGAUACUUUGUUAUAGCUAUGCAAGAUCACAGCUGUUGUCUGAAAAAAAAAAGAGAGUAAAAUCAUGUUAUGUGCUGUUGCCAUCCAAAACCCAUUUUUCUUCCUCCAGCAGCUCACAAAAUAACCCUUCCCCUAUUAAGUGCAGAGGCAUACAUUUUUCUUGGCUUGUAAAAAGCUAGAAAGUCUCAUAGCAGAUUCAGUGAAGCUGCAGCAGUGGAAGGAAGUCAAAGCUUCUACAACAGGCUGGGGCACAUCCUGAGCCUAUUACGAGCUUGGAUUCUGCAAAUUCUGGAUCCGAGCAGUGACUCCACAGAGGCAGCAGGUCUGUGGGCACCACCAGCUCCUGUGCUUUACUAGCCACUGAGUUUUGUUUACCUGGAUGUGUUAUUUUGACCUGUAAACAUGUUUUCUGAAAGGACCCAGUAACAAAACCACUCCUGCAGCUCUCAUGAAAGGACAAAAAAAAUCCCAUUAGACCCCGAAUUUAUAUUUACAGUAUUUUGCUUAACAUUGGCCCUUCUGGACAGCUUUCCUCGGCCCUGCCAGGCCCUCUCUGACCCUUUGAAGUCAGCCCUCGGUGGUCACUGGCAUCGAGACCAAAGCUAAGCAAGGAUCAAGCUGUAGAAGCACCUGCUCUCAUCAACAGCACAAAGCCGUAAAUGAGGGAGAGCCAGGAUGGAGAUUUGAGUCGUUGUCUCCAAGUCCACAGUUCCAAUUACAAAACUGACUUCAGUCAGCCUCACAAUGCACACAACCAGUACUGAAAUUCCUCCUUGACUCCCUGACCCUGUUCAGCACCUGCACUGCCUACACCUCAUGUCAGUAACGUGUCAGAGCAGUUCUAAAUGAAGGUCGGUUGAGGCCCGUUCCAUUUAACACACGGGGGCUGUGUGACCGCUCUGGCAGGGCUUGCCCCAGCACUGCUGCCUCUAACAAGGGUUAUGAGAGUGGCUGAGGUGAAAUUGCAUCAAAGGAGUGAGAUGAAAAGCUUGUUUUCCCCCCGGACUGCAGCUCCUGGAGAGGGGCCGUGCCGUGGUGCACAGAGCGCUGCUGGGUCAGUGUGUUCAGCAGUCUUACCUCCCUGUCCAGGCCAGAGGGAGGAGAGAGCUCGUUGGCUGCUUGGGUUUUUUGGAAAGCAGAGUUAUGUAAAGCAAAAAUUUCUGAGGGGAUCCAGAGAGGACUGACAAGGCACCUGCCGUGACACCCACAGGGGAAGAUGACGGUGAGUGCUAAAGACAGGGGAGAGACCCCGUCCUUCCCGGGCCGUGCACAGCCUGCUGACAACCCCUCAGACACAUCCUCAGCAGCUGCCUUUUAGUCCAGGCUCCGCAUUCCUGGCCACCCCUGGAACCACAAUGGGCCCUGCUCAGGGAGACAAGAGGUGAUGAGAAGCCUGCAGCUGGUGUGCAGAGGCAGGAUAGUAUCAGCUUGCAUGUGUUUUGCCUUGGAAGUGAGGCUGGAGCGUGUCCCACACCUGAAAGGGACAGGAUGAAUCUGAGGCUCUGCAGGGAACAGGGAUGUUUGUAAUGUGGCACAAAAGGUAAUUCAGCCCCUGGUGACGUGAUAUACAACCACCUUGCCAGAUGCUUCAACCCCCCAAACAGUUGUAAGUGCUUCUCCAUGGGCCUCAGUUAAAUUCCCUCCAGGAUGUAAACUCGGGCUUGUUUGGACCAAUACCUACGGACUUGAUUGCAACAGCAGAUGGUUUAUUUCUACCUGCAAGUGAAAACGGGGAGUGUAUAUCACGGCCCUGACACAUUUCACAUGGAGCAGAUGUUUCUAUUAAUGCCAGAAUUGGGUGGAAAUUCAAAGGAUGCUUUUUGCUUUUUUUUCCCUCCUCAAAACUAUUUUACUCAAUUAAAUUGCAACUUGCUGAAGUAUUCCAAUGAAUCACUUCCCUUUUUUUUUUUUGUUUGAUUAGUAGGCUCUAAAGGGACAAAAGAAUAGCUUUGUAUCAGUCUCCCUCAAUUACAUGUAAAGUACAUCUGGACAGAGCCUGAAGAUCCAUCUUUCACUGGCAGUUGCAAAGCCAUCGACAUAAUAAAAUAAUACUCUGAUUGGUA
Long non-coding RNA from Pipra filicauda (Wire-tailed manakin), 10271 nucleotides. RefSeq lists it as uncharacterized. NCBI's taxonomy places the organism in Eukaryota, Metazoa, Chordata, Aves, Passeriformes, Pipridae. The transcript is spliced from 4 exons. The record is from RefSeq and is a predicted model, not a curated record.